CAAGAAUGAGUGGAACGCAUUAUAAGUGGCAGUUGUGCUGCAUAUAUAUAUAGUGGCACUGUGGUCUAAACCACUGAGCCUAGGGCUUGCCGAUCAGAAGGUCGGCGGUUCAAAUCCCCGCGACGAGGUGAGUUCCCGUUGCUCGGUCCCUGCUCCUGCCAACCUAGCAGUUCGAAAGCAUGUCAAAGUGCAAGUAGAUAAAUAGGUACCACUCUGGCGAGAUGGUAAACAGCGUUUCCGUGCGCUACUCUGGUUCACCAAAAGUGGCUUAGACAUGCUGGCCACAUGACCCGGAAAAACUGUCUGCAGACAAACGUUGGCUCCCUCGGCCAGUAAAGCAAGAUGAGCGCCGCAACCCCAGAGUCAUUCACGACUGGACUUAACUGUCAGGGGUCCUUUACCUUUCAUAUAUAUAUAUAUAUACGACAUGACUGAGGAGGUGCAGUUGUUUGCUCCUGAAGCAACAUACGAGUUUUGUUUUCAUAGACUACAGUCUAAAUACCUUCAUUCAACUUGAACCUUUCCAUACCUAACCCACUCCUGUCUCAGUAUGCCCUGUACCCAACUUGAACCUCAGCCUGCACCCAGCCAGAGUUUUGCCUUGCCUCAGCACACAGCACAACAGCUAGCAAUGAUCCUGACUAAAAUCCCCUCCCUCUGUGCUGCUAUUAAUCUUUGGUAGGUGAGUGGGGAAUGCUCCCAUUGUUGCCACUGGGAGUCCCACCUGCCAGGUGCAAAGCAGUGUUUUGUGUCCACAGGGUAGACUUCUGGUUCAUGAUUGAGCUAGGAGUUCCAGGAAACUCUUAUGGGAGGACAGUCAGGGCAGUUCCACUAGGGUGGGAUUAUUACUUUAUCUAAAAACAAAUUAUGGUUAAAAACAUCUUAUUUGAAUAUAUUUAACAGGGAGGGAUCUUCUCCCCUCCAGCUUCUCAGUCUUCAUAAUGGUUGGGGUAUUUAAAUACCACCUGAUAUUUAGUGACGUAUGAUUGUAGUCUGGUAUACAGGUUUGCUGUUUUGAUUUCAUUCCGCAACCCUUUUUUUCAUUUUCUUUGUUACUUGCCUGUUUUCUCCUAUGUCUACACAUUUUUGUAUGCAAAAGUAAAAUUCAAUAAAAAUGUUUUCAUUUUUAAAUCUAAAAACACUUUAAAACAUUGUUUCAAUAUUAAGCAAUUCCCAUGAACAUUGAUCACUGCUAAGUUUGAGAGUUAAAUAGAGUUGUGGCCUAUUUUAAUCCAAUUGAUGGUGACCAUCUGCAAAGAGUCACCUGCCAGUACAGCUCCUGCCUGCACAGCUAAAUACUCGCUCCUUAGGCUACAGUUCCAAGUUCCUAAAGAGCAGAACCAAGCUGCUUGCAUCCUUGCCAGUGCUGCAAGUAGCCCAGCAGAAUGUUUGCAAAGGAAUAAUUAUAGCUAAUGUCAAUUUCGACCUUUUGUUUGAUCGUCCCAAAGGAAAGCUGUGUUAAUAGGUGAGAAUUGCAUCUCAGCAGACAUCAGAGUUGCCAGGGGGCUCAGGAGCAACAGGAUUGUUUCAGCUGCUGGCUCUCGGUGAUAAAUGAGAACUGAGACAACUGCUAGGAGAUUUGCAGCAUAUUGGCAACAACAAGCUGAUCAGGAGUGACAUCAGUAUAGCUGUGGCACGGUGCCAGAACGCUACAAAUCAGGCACAUUUAGGCCUCUUCCUUUUUCUCAAUUUGCCCACUGGGGAAUGACAAUUAUUAUGGCUAGCCAGGGUUUAGAAUCAUCCAACUUGCAAUCAAUAGUAAGUUAUUGUAUUGGCAGUUGCCCUGUGUUUGAUGACAGCCUGACAACUUUCACAGCACUGACCUUAAUGAAUGGUCUCCGUGCAAUGUCAAGUGGAAGCCAGAGAAGUGCCUUAGCUAUGCUUUGCAGCAGGAGGAUGAUUAUCAUUUUCAAGUCAUUUGAGAGACAUAAAGGAGCAGAACAGAAAAGGGUUGUCAGGUAACUUAUAGGAAGUCUAUGGGGACACACUCAAGAGCAUUAAAAUAAGGCUUCUUUCACCUUAGCGAUCCUGACUUAAAUGGGAUGGUUAUUGGCAAGUGAAAAGGUGGAUGUUUCCCUCCCUUUCAGUGAAUUUGGGACACACACACGUCACAUAGAUAUAUUUUUGAAACUGGCUAGGAGGAGAGAGGGCUGUUGCUUGUGGGCUUCCCAUAGGCAUCUAGUUGGCGCUGUGAGAACUAGAUGCUGGGCUAGAUGAGCCUUUGGACUGAUCCAGCAGGGUUCUUUUGUUCUUAUGACUUGAGAUUGUUAUUAUAGAAGGAAAGGAAGUUGGAUUAUUCUCUUUAAUUUUUCUGUACAAAAGUAGCUGUCAUGUAGUUUUUGGUGAGAACCAAUGAAUUUACAGUACCACAAGUUAAGUAGAUGAGAGAGUUGUUUUACUGUUUGCAACUUUUGUCUAUUUUAAUACCUAUAAAAUACUGAAGCAAACUUCAGUUAUAAGGUGGACUAUCAACUGUAUAAAUAAAUAAAACACCUUCUAGAUAGCUGAUUUUGUAAAGCUGAGCUGGGAGAAGGGAGCCAGGCUGAUUUUUAGUUCAGGUGUUAAAGUUUAAUAAUGCAUUUUUUUAAAUGUAGGCAGGCUAUGCUGAAACUAAUAUUUCUAAUUGAAGUUACACCAAAACACUAAAAAAGAAAAGUUUAAAUGUUGUAUGUAGUAAAGGCAUGGGCAACAGCUGAUCUCCCGCCCUCUGACUCUGAUUUGUAAGACGAGAGUGAAAAAGGAGUGGAUUGUUUUGUGAGCUGCCCAGUGAACUCUUAUUAUGGGGCACCCACAUAAAUGCAGAAAAAUGAAUAGAUAAAUGUAUGCCUUGAUCAAAUCAUCUUUCUAAACAACAACCUGGAAUUGCUUCUAUGGCUUAGGCCACUGGUUGCUUUUGACUCGUUUGCCAUGUUACACCCACUUGCUAUGCACCUGCUAGAUCCUUACUACAUACUGCCAUGUGAAUCAAAAUUUAUGACCUGUAAACAGCAUUAACCUUUUUUUCUGGCAUUCAUUCAUUUCACUCCUUUGUUAAUUAACUGGGGAAGAAUGGGAAGGGCAUUGUUAAAUACCCAUAGGAAAAGGAGGGAGGGGAUGGGCACAGGAGGGGAGAGGUGUGGCAAAAUGGGCAUGAGUGAAGGAGGCAGCAUGAUGGCACUUGAGGGCUGACGUACAGCCUUCUUGAUGCACAGCCCACAAAAACCUGGAAGAGAAAAGCCCCAAGGCAAGCUACUAGUUUCAUGGUGCAAAAUGCUUCUCUAAGCUGUUUUCCUAAGAUAUACUUCCUCCCAAAUGCUAAGAAGUUAAAAUCAGCAUCUAAAGAUAAAGCCAAACUUUAUAGAGAUGCUCAACCUUGUUUAGAGAAAAAUGAACCCGGAUUUUGUACUUAUCACCAUGCUCGAUAACAGCUUAAUCCAAAUACAUUCAACCUAAUCAAAUUACUAUCUCUGAAGGCUACAGGGAUAAAUUUACAGUGUUGGAAUCCUAUUUAUACAGUGAAAUCCUUUAAACUAAAUAGCUGGGAUUGGACAGGGUAGCUAAUAAAUGAAAAUAUGCUGUACCAAAUAAAAUAUAUAGCCUAUUUCAUCUGCCUUAACAAAACUUAUUUAGCUGGUAGGUUCACUGGAGUAUCAAAGGAGGCCUGGAAAGGUGAAAUUAAUCAUGGAAAAGUGAAGUGUAGCAAGAGGCUUAUCGAAAUCUUGAUGCUGUAAAAGUUGCUAGUGGGGUGUGAUUUCUCUGAUGAAAAUUUCAUUUGCAUCAAGAGCUUAAACAUGUUUUUGCACUUGAUGUUAAUAUCACACAUAAAUGUGACUGGAUGACACUGUUACAAAGCAAAGCCCACUCAAUGUGCAGGGCAGUAGAAGAGAAGGAUGAUUAAUACUGAUGAAUGCUGUUUUCCUGACUCUUAGAAUCCAAUUAAAUUGCUGAAGUCCUGAAGGUGAAGAGAGAAGAAAUGUCUAGUUUCGACAGCAAUAGUUUUAUAUAUCCAUUAAAACUGAGGAGAAACAGCGACUUCUAAAGGAGGAAGGAGACACUUCUUUUACUCAUCUUAUUAAACCCAAUCUCCAACCCUUGUGCCCAAGGCUACCUUCAACAUGGCAUUUUUUGUUGUUUGCAACACAAGGGAGCAUAAUCUGCACUUCCCUGUUCUUAGCCUUAGCCAAUAAGAUGCAUUUCUUUACCUAUUUAUCAGAUUUGUGUUCUACUCUUUCUCUCCAUUCCUCAGGGAACUAUAUAUGGGGAGGCCAGUGUGGUGUAGUGGUUAAGAGCGGUCGACUUGUAAUCUGGUGAACCGGGUUUGCUUCUCCACUCCUCCACAUGCAGCUGCUGGGUGACUCUGGGCUAGUCACAGUUCUCUGAAGUCUCUCAGCCUCACUCACCUCACAGUUUGUUGUGGGGGAGGAAGGGAAAGGAGAAUGUUAGCCGCUUUGAGACUCCUCAGGGUAGUGAUAAAGCAGGAUAUCAAAUCCAAACUCCUCUUCUUCUUCUUAUCCACAGUACCCUCAACCACUCUCUGAAAGUACUCAUCUAAGGAAGUUCAUGCAGCAGGGCAAACCAGAGUUUUGAACCCUAUUCAAAAUCUAGCAUUCAAUCCACUAUACUUCACCAGCAUUGAGAAACUCAUCAGAACCAUCUACACAGAUAUAAUCAGAACCAGCCUGUGAGUUGCUAUUCUCAGGCUCUGACAUGGCUAUGAUAUGGACAAUUCCAGCC
Molecule: non-coding RNA, 4713 nt
Organism: Podarcis lilfordi (Lilford's wall lizard)
Lineage: Eukaryota; Metazoa; Chordata; Lepidosauria; Squamata; Lacertidae
Source: the annotation of a GenBank genome assembly